This 842-nucleotide ribosomal RNA is filed under the name uncultured bacterium. RNAcentral describes it as "bacterial SSU rRNA". It matches the Rfam family "Bacterial small subunit ribosomal RNA", at positions 650 to 1504 of the family's 1533-position model. The record is from RNAcentral.
GGUUGUAGUGUGCGGAAUGUGUGGUGUAGCGGUGAAAUGCUUAGAUAUCACACAGAACACCGAUUGCGAAGGCAGCACACUAAGUCAUUAUUGACGCUGAGGCACGAAAGUGUGGGGAUCAAACAGGAUUAGAUACCCUGGUAGUCCACACUGUAAACGAUGAUAACUCGCUGUCGGCGAUACACAGUCGGUGGCCAAGCGAAAGCAUUAAGUUAUCCACCUGGGGAGUACGACCGCAAGGUUGAAACUCAAAGGAAUUGACGGGGGCCCGCACAAGCGGAGGAACAUGUGGUUUAAUUCGAUGAUACGCGAGGAACCUUACCCGGGCUCGAACGGUGCAUGAAUAUACGAGAGAUUGUAUAGUCCUUCGGGACAUGUAUCGAGGUGCUGCAUGGUUGUCGUCAGCUCGUGCCGUGAGGUGUCGGCUUAAGUGCCAUAACGAGCGCAACCCUUGUCAUUAGUUGCCAUCAGGUCAAGCUGGGGACUUUAAUGAGACUGCCACCGUAAGGUGUGAGGAAGGGGGGGAUGACGUCAAAUCAGCACGGCCCUUAUGUCCGGGGCGACACACGUGUUACAAUGGGAGGUACAGAGGGCAGCUAUCCGGUGACGGAAUGCUAAUCUCCAAAACCUUUCUCAGUUCGGAUUGGAGUCUGCAACUCGACUCCAUGAAGGUGGAUUCGCUAGUAAUCGCGCAUCAGCCAUGGCGCGGUGAAUACGUUCCCGGGCCUUGUACACACCGCCCGUCAAGCCAUGGAAGCUUGGGGUGCCUGAAGUUCGUGACCGCAAGGAGCGACCUAAGGCAAAACAGGUAACUGGGGCUAAGUCGUAACAAGGUAACCGUA